RNAcentral lists this non-coding RNA (30 nucleotides) under Mus musculus (house mouse). RNAcentral also lists the same sequence under 1 other name. The record is from RNAcentral. Lineage: Eukaryota; Metazoa; Chordata; Mammalia; Rodentia; Muridae.
UGGGAUUACAGGUGUGCACCAUAAUGCCCU